CUUUACUAUAGCCUGGAAUUGUGUUCGGGCUUCGCUUACGCAGGAUAGGUGGGAGGCUGUGAAGUUCUGCUUGUGGGCAGAAUCGAGCCAACGGUGAGAUACCACUUUAGCGAGGCUAGAAUUCUAACCCUUACCCGUCAUCCGGGAAGGAGACAGUUUCAGGGGGGUAGUUUGACUGGGGCGGUCGCCCCCUAAAAGGUAACGGAGGCGCACAAUGUUUCCCUCAGGCUGGUUGGAAAUCAGCCAUUGAGUGCAAAGGCAGAAGGGAGCUUGACUGCAAGACCUACAAGUCGAGCAGGGUGGAAACACGGUCUUAGUGAUCCGACGGUGCCGCAUGGAAGGGCCGUCGCUCAACGGAUAAAAGUUA
RNAcentral lists this ribosomal RNA (367 nucleotides) under uncultured organism. Its description in RNAcentral is "bacterial LSU rRNA". It matches the Rfam family "Bacterial large subunit ribosomal RNA", at positions 2099 to 2465 of the family's 2925-position model. The record is from RNAcentral.